GAUUUAUUCUCCAUUGGUUAGAAGCAUAGAUUGACAACUAAUGCCAAUACUUUGAGAACCAAAAUAUGGUAAAUCUAUGUGAUUAAAACUUAUGUAACUAUUAUAUAUGAGAAAAUCAAUAUUUUGACUUGAAUGACCAAAUGAAUAGUAACUUUACAUAUUAAGUACAAAUAUUCAAAAAAUAACUUUGUAAUAUGCUCUAGUAGGCCUAGUGUGAUUGGUU
RNAcentral lists this unclassified non-coding RNA (223 nucleotides) under Hevea brasiliensis (rubber tree). The record is from RNAcentral. Lineage: Eukaryota; Viridiplantae; Streptophyta; Magnoliopsida; Malpighiales; Euphorbiaceae.